GUAUUCCUGAAGUGUGCGCCAGCUUGUUGUUUUUACCCACAUCACACUAAUCGGAGCCCGGGUCGGGUAGUGGCUGCCGUGCCUCCCUUGAGAGGAAGGCAAAAGCUAUUCGCAGGGCACCACCCUGCUUAACAUAGCGGGUGAAAAAACAGAAGCAACGGCACUUUGGGGUAUC
This 175-nucleotide non-coding RNA is filed under the name Christensenellaceae bacterium. RNAcentral describes it as "6S RNA". It matches the Rfam family "6S / SsrS RNA". Rfam says of the family: E. coli 6S RNA was the first non coding RNA to be sequenced, but its function was unknown until recently. It consists of 184 nucleotides that fold into an extended hairpin structure with a large single-stranded internal bulge. RNAcentral also lists the same sequence under 1 other name. Lineage: Bacteria; Bacillati; Bacillota; Clostridia; Christensenellales; Christensenellaceae. The record is from RNAcentral.